RNAcentral lists this ribosomal RNA (434 nucleotides) under uncultured bacterium. Its description in RNAcentral is "partial 16S ribosomal RNA". It matches the Rfam family "Bacterial small subunit ribosomal RNA", at positions 29 to 507 of the family's 1533-position model. The record is from RNAcentral.
AGCGAACGCUGGCGGCAGGCCUAACACAUGCAAGUCGAACGAACCUUUCGGGGUUAGUGGCGGACGGGUGAGUAACACGUGGGAACGUGCCUUUAGGUUCGGAAUAACUCAGGGAAACUUGUGCUAAUACCGAAUGUGCCCUUCUGGGGAAAGAUUAAUCGCCGUUAGAGCGGCCCGCGUCUGAUUAGCUAGUUGGUUGAGGUAAUGGCUCACCAAGGCGACGAUCAGUAGCUGGUCUGAGAGGAUGAUCAGCGACAUUGGUACUGAGACACGGCCCAAAAUCCUACGGGAGGCAGCAGAGGGGAAUCUUGCGAAAUGGGCGAAAGGCUGAAGCAGCCAGGCCGCGUGAAUGAUGAAGGUGUUAGGAUUGUAAAGUUCUUUCACCGGGGACGAUAAUGACGGUACCCGGAGAAGAAGCCCCGGCUAACUUCGUG